Molecule: long non-coding RNA, 175 nt
Organism: Juglans microcarpa x Juglans regia
Lineage: Eukaryota; Viridiplantae; Streptophyta; Magnoliopsida; Fagales; Juglandaceae
Exons: 4
Source: RefSeq, a predicted model, not a curated record
AAAUAUGAACAUGCAAGAUUUCAAAAUGUGCAGCUUCUAAAUACCCUUCUAUGGUAAGAACCAGGUCCAUGAAAUUGAGAUCAGGAAGACUACACUUUUAAAUUUUUUUACAAAAAAAAGCGCAAACAUCCUUAGCAGAAGGGCAUCCCCAAACAGAAUAUGUAUUGUAGUUUUU